CCCUACGGGGNGCANCAGGCGCGAAAACUUUACACUGCGCGAAAGCGCGAUAAGGGGACCUCGAGUGCGUGCGCAAUGCGUACGCUUUUCAGAUGCCUAAAAAGCAUGUGGAAUAAGGGCCGGGCAAGACCGGUGCCAGCCGCCGCGGUAA
RNAcentral lists this ribosomal RNA (151 nucleotides) under uncultured euryarchaeote. RNAcentral describes it as "partial 16S ribosomal RNA". It matches the Rfam family "Archaeal small subunit ribosomal RNA", at positions 321 to 473 of the family's 1478-position model. Lineage: Archaea; Methanobacteriati; Methanobacteriota. The record is from RNAcentral.